GAUCCUGUGAGGGGAGUGGGGGUGGGGUUGUCACCUGACCAGAACUUCCCAAGGGUACCGUUUUCCAGAUGGAAUGUGCACAUCUCCUCUCUGUCACAUCCCACUGUCCCUGUAGCCUUUUCUUGUUGAUAUGAACAGUAGCCAGAGGAACCUCUCAGUUCCAUGAGCACAUAAGCUUGGUGCCUUUUUAACCCAACACAGGUAGAUGCUGACUGUACAAGACCACUAGUAGGCUGUGUCAAUGCCACUGAGAAGCAGAAACUUGUCCAAUGAGGCCCAUCUGUUCAUCCAGAACACAUUUCCCUCCUGACUACCUCCACCCUCGUAACACCCGUCCUAAGAAGAUUUUGUACAUGAAGCUGGGAAUAAAGGCUUUCCCCUAUUCUGUCAUUAUUUAAAAAAGAACAUUUCUAUAAAACCAACAGCUACCCAAUAGUUCAUAUUCAGAAUUAUAAGUCUGCUUCUACACUAAGGAAGCAAAGAGUGAAAAAUAAAGAUCUACUAUACAUCCAACAAUUACCAUCUCACGGAGAGGAGCCAACCAGUCUGUCACAUGGCCAAAACCUGAUCUAUAACCUAUCUCUGCCAAAGACUCCGACAGUGGGUAAACUCUGUUUUACCAGGAUUCAAGUGGGCUCACUGACUUACCAAAAAGGCCUCUUAUAAAAACGUGGAGGAGCUAAAGCCAAACCCAGAGGCCUAGAGGUUGUUCGCUUCCCUUCUCCUGGAAGCCCUCGCCAAAUAGCAGCAAAACCAUGAUCUCCUUAAUCAGGAAGGAAAGCAAAACCAACAGGUCCUUCUAUGCAAGCUACUCCUGAUGGAUGAAGAAGAUCUGAAAGGCCAAAUCAAAAGACCCUGUGGAAACUUUAUAAAACCUUGAAGGAAGACUAUUAUGUUACUCCUUCCAACAAAACAGCUGCUCUAAAAGAUAUCUGUAAAGUAGCACAGAUAAGCCCCGAACUUACCUGCCUUGGCAAAAAUAAAAAGAACACACUGAAAUCUUCUUGGGUGACUGAGGAUCAUGAGGUUGUCAGAGUCAUCCCAACCUUCACUUCUGACUAUAUGUGUGAGUGAGAUGGCAGCAGGAUUAUAAGAGGCACCAGAAAGUAAUAAGUCAAAAAUCAAGAGCUGCUUUAUGCUGGUGAUUAUAAGUGACCAAGGCUGCCCUUUGUUUUGUCACUUUACUACAAAGCACUCACUAAACAAGCACUGGAGACCCAUGCACAAGACUGUGCUGCUGGGCCUUGUGCACCACACCUAGGACUCACCGUGUUUACACUUGGAGCAUUGCUGUCAGAGGGAAACAGAAGAGAACAUGUUAAGGGCACGCUGACCAAAGGCUCCAUGGCACAUAUGCAAAGGGUACAGGCUUCUGCUCACCAUGUGAUUGCAGCCUCCGUUCUUCUCAAUGCAGAUGUUACACUUUGGACACUGAGGAGACAGAAGGGCGCCAUUAGGCUCACACACCACCAGGCUGGUUCUAAGACAAAUUACACAAAGCUCUUGGCACCCGUGCCCAGCAGCUCAUCGUGCGAGCCCUUCUGGGGAGGAGCAUCUCACUUAAAUGUGGCGGGUCGCUGAGGCUGGAACAGCAAUUCAAGGAAAUGAGGUCAGCACGUUUGGCUCUGAAACACUCCAAGCACUGGCUGAGCCCCACUAAGUCUUCCACCAUCUGUCUCUGCCACGAGGCUGCUCAGAUUAAGCACAAGCUGAGUCAGCACAAUGUCUUCCUGCUUGGAAAGAAUGCCAAGCAGCACAAGAGCUGCCACACCAGACCACGUCCUGUUCAGCUUGCCUGGACUUCUGCCUCAACGAGAGAGCAAGGAAACAACCUCUAAAGCUCACCUGCUCUCAUAUGAGAGGUGCCACAACGUAGGCAGCAAUGCAGAGACCAGUCUGACGCUCUGCUCUCCCAUUGCCACGAAGUAGACUAUGUUUAAUGUCACAGUCACAGCUGUGUUGUGAGUGCAGCAACUCAGCGCAUGACUGGCAUAGGGUAGGUGCCAAGUCACCCAGGGUUCAAGGGGCUGAGGGCCAUGUUUUCCCAUGGGAAGUUUCAGAAUGAGAACUGGGCAUGCCCAGGCUUGCAUGAAAGCCUCGCUCUUUAUUAUGUGUUGCUAUCAACCACCUCCUGCCCAGGGCUAUUAAAGGCUGGGAGGCAUUAAAGCAAAAUCUGGUUUUCUUCUAAUUAGUUCUUCUACUGGUCAAACUUUUCCAGGUAGGUCAGCAUUUUAUUAAAAUAAAUGCAUCCAACGCAUACUAUGAUAAUCCGCUGCCAACUCUGCCAAGUCUGGGAAAGGGUCUGCAGACUUCAGCAAGGGUCCUGGGGCCCUGGGUGUUCCGCACUCAAAAAGCCAGCCAGCCUCCCAGGCGAGGACCUAGGCAGCAUUAAGGAGGGCAGAUCCAUGACAGGUAAGAUACAGUCCUUACAUCUUUAGUGUGAGCACUAAUGUAGUUGGCUGUUUCGGAAUCAUCUGCACACUUCGUGAGCCAUUUCCGGAUUGUGGCGCAGUCUGUGGGGGCGUGAUACAUCUGACGACACUUGAAACUUAAAACCAGAAAAGAAAGACAUUUAAAUAAUUGUUAGGCCAGGGUCCUAUGUUUUCAAUUUUCCUUCUGUCCAAGCCAAAAGAUACUGAAUUAGAGCUUUUCAAAGAAGUAAAGUUACCUCUCAAGGCCUUUGGGAUCUUUACUUACCCAGAAUUAUACUUAAAAUAUUGUAUGAAUUUCUCUUCAAUCUAAGCACUUCUAAGAUAUACUCUCAAUACACCCAAAUAAAACGUUUCUGUCUUAAA
Felis catus (domestic cat) is the source of this 2795-nucleotide long non-coding RNA. RefSeq lists it as uncharacterized. NCBI's taxonomy places the organism in Eukaryota, Metazoa, Chordata, Mammalia, Carnivora, Felidae. The record is from RefSeq and is a predicted model, not a curated record. The transcript is spliced from 2 exons.